GGGGGUGUAGCUCAAUGGUGGGACACUUACUUAUAAUGUAUGAGACCUUGGGUUCCAUCCCCAGUGCCACCA
This 72-nucleotide transfer RNA is filed under the name Neotoma lepida (desert woodrat). It matches the Rfam family "tRNA". Rfam says of the family: Transfer RNA (tRNA) molecules are approximately 80 nucleotides in length. Their secondary structure includes four short double-helical elements and three loops (D, anti-codon, and T loops). Further hydrogen bonds mediate the characteristic L-shaped molecular structure. tRNAs have two regions of fundamental functional importance: the anti-codon, which is responsible for specific mRNA codon recognition, and the 3' end, to which the tRNAs corresponding amino acid is attached (by aminoacyl-tRNA synthetases). tRNAs cope with the degeneracy of the genetic code in two manners: having more than one tRNA (with a specific anti-codon) for a particular amino acid; and 'wobble' base-pairing, i.e. permitting non-standard base-pairing at the 3rd anti-codon position. The record is from Rfam by way of RNAcentral. Lineage: Eukaryota; Metazoa; Chordata; Mammalia; Rodentia; Cricetidae.